Molecule: ribosomal RNA, 379 nt
Filed under: uncultured bacterium
Lineage: Bacteria
Description: bacterial SSU rRNA
Rfam family: Bacterial small subunit ribosomal RNA
Source: RNAcentral
ACGCGAAGAACCUUACCAGGUCUUGACAUCCCACUGACCGGUUUAGAGAUAAGCCUUUCCCUUCGGGGACAGUGGUGACAGGUGGUGCAUGGUUGUCGUCAGCUCGUGUCGUGAGAUGUUGGGUUAAGUCCCGCAACGAGCGCAACCCUUGAUCUUAGUUGCCAGCAUUCAGUUGGGCACUCUAAGGUGACUGCCGGUGACAAACCGGAGGAAGGUGGGGAUGACGUCAAAUCAUCAUGCCCCUUAUGACCUGGGCUACACACGUGCUACAAUGGACGAUACAAAGGGCUGCAAACCCGCGAGGGGGAGCCAAUCCCAUAAAAUCGUUCUCAGUUCGGAUUGUAGGCUGCAACUCGCCUACAUGAAGCCGGAAUCGCUA